Molecule: ribosomal RNA, 441 nt
Filed under: uncultured bacterium
Lineage: Bacteria
Description: partial 16S ribosomal RNA
Rfam family: Bacterial small subunit ribosomal RNA
Source: RNAcentral
CCUACGGGUGGCAACAGUGGGGGAUAUUGCACAAUGGGGGAAACCCUGAUGCAGCGACGCCGCGUGAGUGAAGAAGUAUUUCGUUAUGUAAAGCUCUAUCAGCAGGGAAGAAAAAAGACGGUACCUAACUAAGAAGCCCCGGCUAACUACGUCCCGGCAGCCGCGGUAAUACGUAGGGGGCAGGCGUUCUCCGGAUUUACUGGGGUGAAAGGGACGGUAGACGGCAAUACAAGUAGGAAGUGAAAUACCCGGGCUCAACCUGGGAACUGCUUUGGAAACUGUAUGGCUGGAGUGCUGGAGAGGUAAGCGGAAUUCCUAGUGUAGCGGUGAAAUGCGUAGAUAUUAGGAGGAACACCAGUGGCGAAGGCGGCUUACUGGACAGUAACUGACGUUGAGGCUCGAAAGCGUGGGGAGCAAACAGGAUUAGAUACCCUUGUAGUC